AUUGAACGCUGGCGGCAGGCUUAACACAUGCAGGUCGAACGGUAACAUAAAGAAGCUUGCUUCUUUGAUGACGAGUGGCGGACGGGUGAGUAAUGCUUGGGAAUCUGGCUUAUGGAGGGGGAUAACUACGGGAAACUGUAGCUAAUACCGCGUAGAAUCGGGAGAUGAAAGUGUGGGACCUUCGGGCCACAUGCCAUAGGAUGAGCCCAAGUGGGAUUAGGUAGUUGGUGAGGUAAAGGCUCACCAAGCCGACGAUCUCUAGCUGGUCUGAGAGGAUGACCAGCCACACUGGGACUGAGACACGGCCCAGACUCCUACGGGAGGCAGCAGUGGGGAAUAUUGCGCAAUGGGGGCAACCCUGACGCAGCCAUGCCGCGUGAAUGAAGAAGGCCUUCGGGUUGUAAAGUUCUUUCGGUAGCGAGGAAGGCAUUUAGUUUAAUAGACUAGGUGAUUGACGUAA
This 460-nucleotide ribosomal RNA is filed under the name Terrahaemophilus aromaticivorans. RNAcentral describes it as "bacterial SSU rRNA". It matches the Rfam family "Bacterial small subunit ribosomal RNA", at positions 30 to 477 of the family's 1533-position model. The record is from RNAcentral. Lineage: Bacteria; Pseudomonadati; Pseudomonadota; Gammaproteobacteria; Pasteurellales; Pasteurellaceae.